RNAcentral lists this ribosomal RNA (301 nucleotides) under uncultured bacterium. RNAcentral describes it as "partial 16S ribosomal RNA". It matches the Rfam family "Bacterial small subunit ribosomal RNA", at positions 509 to 807 of the family's 1533-position model. The record is from RNAcentral.
CAGCCGCCGCGGUAAAACGGAGGGGGCUAGCGUUGUUCGGAAUUACUGGGCGUAAAGCGCACGUAGGCGGCUUUGUAAGUUAGAGGUGAAAGCCCGGAGCUCAACUCCGGAAUUGCCUUUAAGACUGCAGAGCUAGCAGGUGAGAGAGGUGAGUGGAAUUCCGAGUGUAGAGGUGAAAUUCGUAGAUAUUCGGAAGAACACCAGUGGCGAAGGCGGCUCACUGGCUCAUACUGGACGCUGAGGUGCGAAAGCGUGGGGAGCAAACAGGAUUAGAUACCCCCGUAGUCCCUGUCUCUUAUAC